GAUGAAGAACGCAGCAAAAUGCGAUAAGUAAUGUGAAUUGCAGAAUUCAGUGAAUCAUCGAAUCUUUGAACGCACAUUGCGCCCGCCAGUAUUCUGGCGGGCAUGCCUGUUCGAGCGUCAUUACAACCCUCAGGCCCCCGGGCCUGGCGUUGGGGAUCGGCGGAGCCCCCCGUGGGCACACGCCGUCCCCCAAAUGCAGUGGCGGUCCCGCCGCAGCUUCCAUCGCGUAGUAGCUAACACCUCGCGACUGGAGAGCGGCACGGCCACGCCGUAAAACACCCAACUCUUCUGAAGUUGACCUCGAAUCAGGUAGGAAUACCCGCUGAACUUAAGCAUAUCAAUAAGCGGAGGA
RNAcentral lists this unclassified non-coding RNA (352 nucleotides) under soil metagenome. RNAcentral's name for it is "partial contains 5.8S ribosomal RNA, internal transcribed spacer 2, and large subunit ribosomal RNA". The stretch from base 1 to 120 matches the Rfam family "5.8S ribosomal RNA", at positions 35 to 154 of the family's 154-position model. The record is from RNAcentral.